GUGAAUCAUCAAAUUUUUGAACGCAAAUUGCACUCUCCUCGGAGAGGAGGCCUGUUUGAGUGUCAGCCUAUGAAAAAUCGACAUCGUGGCUGGUUCGCGGUGUCGUUCGUCGGAAAUUGGGGCAUCUUAUAUCUUUUGUUUUUAAGCGACUUAAAAUUUUCUUUUUGGUUCCAUGAAUGUGUCUAAGAUUUAUUUCUUUACACUUUUAAGGUAUCGAUUUUUAUUAGACUUUACCAUCAGAUCG
This 244-nucleotide unclassified non-coding RNA is filed under the name Glomeraceae sp. RNAcentral's name for it is "partial contains 5.8S ribosomal RNA and internal transcribed spacer 2". The stretch from base 1 to 65 matches the Rfam family "5.8S ribosomal RNA", at positions 84 to 154 of the family's 154-position model. The record is from RNAcentral. Lineage: Eukaryota; Fungi; Glomeromycota; Glomeromycetes; Glomerales; Glomeraceae.